RNAcentral lists this long non-coding RNA (2187 nucleotides) under Olea europaea subsp. europaea. The record is from RNAcentral. Lineage: Eukaryota; Viridiplantae; Streptophyta; Magnoliopsida; Lamiales; Oleaceae.
GUUUGAUUGCCUAAUGAUAUUUCGCACGUAUUCCCAGACUGGAGUGACUUCUAUAACAAAGUUCAGAUGAGAAAUUGGUUGCAAAGGAACAUUAUAUAAUUACUACUUUGCAUUUGUUUCCAAUUUCCGGGGUUAAUUUUCCCAGAAUUUAUUGGGUGGAUGGCAAACCAUACUCCGUCAACCUUGGAACAAUCAAGAAACAUAUCUUUGUUGGUUAAGACGUACUAUUUACUCUCAUCUACAUCCAGAGAGAGCCUGUCUAGUAUAUGGUAGUACCCCACCAUUGAGAGUGGAAGUCCAUCAGUGAGCUUUAUUGUCAAUUGUCAUGGUCCAAGGGAAAAGAGGGCGAAAUGUAGUGAUCUCUCUCUCUCUCUCUCUCACUCUCUUUCCGUGUAUGUCUUUUAUGUGUGAAAUUAUAUUUCUAAUCUUUAAUGCUACUAUCAUUUCAGUAGCUUGUCUUUUAAACAUUCAAAUGCUCUCUUGCUUUUCAGGCUGGACCCUUUUGUAAAAGUUUUCAACCUGAGCGUUGAAGAAUUUGAGUUUUGCAUUGUGAUUAGUUAUUCUGCUAUAAUUGUUGAGAGGUCUUUGAGCAACCUGCAAGCAAGGGAGGCUGUCGGUAUCAUCAAAUGAAUUUCAGGAGCUUAAAUUGAUAUUGCAACCAACUUCAACUAAUUUAUAGGUUCUACACACUAGCAAAUAAUUUUUUACCGUAAUUCCAUGAGGUUGAAAUUCCUGGUGGUGGAGCUGUUACUUUCUCCAUCUCUCGUUUUACACGUGUCAUCUGCUGGUACGCUCCUACUCUAGUAACGUACCUUUUGACUAGCUUUACGUUCCAAAUAUCGUUUCACCAUUUUGCCUCAUGCUUGGUUUUAAGCUUGGAAUGGCAUUUUUGGAGAUCUUGAGACAAAGAGCAUGCUUGGCUAAGCUUUUGUUUCCACAUAAGUUUCAAAAUAAGUAACUCAUUUCCAAUGUUGAAAAGUACAAAAACUACUUAUCUAUUGAGAGCUUAUAAUUAAAUUCUUUAAGCUUAGGCAAACAUGAACAUAGAAUCCUUUCUUCCUUGCAAAGAUAUCGAAUUGUACACAACAUACGCUAAAGAGAAGAAUUAGUGAAAUUUUUUGCCAUAUUUGAUGUUCUAGGACACACGUAAUAGAUACUUGAUAUGUACAGGAAUUAAUUGGUACUGGCCAAGUAAAAAGUUGUCAAUCAACUAAAGAUGUUCAUGAUUAUCCAUUAAAGACUUUAUGUGAAUGGUACAAAGGAUAGUAACAAAGGUUAAAGAGAGAGAUGGAGUAAUAAAAAGUAUAUGGGGACACUGCAUAUGGAAUCUAUCAAUUAGUCAUUAUCCCAUUCCCCAAUUAUAGUUGUAAAGUAGUUCUUCUUCUUUUGGUGUUCAAUCAUUCUUUUAAGUUUUACCGAGGCUUUGAUUGUCUCUCCUGUAGAUUUUUGCACUUCUCAUCAUAGAACCCCUAUAUGGUAGUUCAAACUUUGAAACAUUUCCUUAAUGUUUAUGUGGAGAAAAUGAUGACAAAAAGGAAUAAAGUGGGAUGCAUACUCUCCUUUAAUCUCUUUUGCAAGUCCUUCACCUAUGUUUCUCAUAGUCGGUCCAAAGCCUAGGCAAAGGAGGAGUGUUGCAGUUUGUUGAUAACUAGCAUAAAAUCUUUGUCAAAAUCUAAUAAUAUGACUCCUAAUGUACAUUUAGUUUGUUGUAAUAAUCGUUUUUGUAAAAGUCGAGGUAGAUGAUUAUACAUAGUACUCAACAACCCUUUUUAAUUCUGCCCUCUGAUGCUUGCUAAACCUUAAACCAAAAAAAAAAAAAGGGUCAGGUUAAUGGCCAAUGUUGAAGUCUAUGUGUUUCAUAGAGUAGGAAUACCUAGUAUAAAACUUUGUCAAAUCUUAUAACGCGAAUCCUAUACAUUUAGUUAAAAUCUUUUUGUGGGUCCAUGGUCAAGUCGAGUUAGAUGAUUAUACAUAAUACUCAUUACACUUUUCUAAUUCUACCUCUUGAUGCUUGCUAAUUUACCUCUGAUUUUCGAUUUAGGUACACAGUUUGCGGAGAGACAAAUUGUCCCUUUGGCACGUGAGAUUACUACUGACCGCUCACCAGACUAUGAAGAAAAAAGGGUUUUUAUUUGUUGGCAUGGCUCCAUUGUUAGUUCACUCGUGUUUUUGUUAAAAGGUGAAGGG